RNAcentral lists this ribosomal RNA (303 nucleotides) under Alphaproteobacteria bacterium. RNAcentral describes it as "partial 16S ribosomal RNA". The record is from RNAcentral. Lineage: Bacteria; Pseudomonadati; Pseudomonadota; Alphaproteobacteria.
GGAGUCUGGACCGUGUCUCAGUUCCAAUGUGGCUGAUCGUCCUCUCAGACCAGCUAUAGAUCGUCGGCUAGGUAGGCCAUUACCCCACCUACUACCUAAUCUUCCGCGGGCCAAUCUUUCGGCAAAUCUCUCCUUUCCCCCUCAGGGCGUAUGCGGUAUUAGCAGUCGUUUCCAACUGUUGUCCCCCACCAAAAGGUAUGUUCCCACGUGUUACUCACCAGUGCGCUGCUCUCAUGAUUAGUAGCAAGCUACCAACCAAUCCCGCUCAACUUGCAUGUGUUAAGCCUGCCGCCAGCGUUCGUU